CCUACGGGGCGCAGCAGUGGGGAAUAUUGCACAAUGGGGGAAACCCUGAUGCAGCGACGCCGCGUGAGUGAAGAAGUAUUUCGGUAUGUAAAGCUCUAUCAGCAGGGAAGAAAAUGACGGUACCUGAUUAAGAAGCCCCGGCUAACUACGUGCCAGCAGCCGCGGUAAUACGUAGGGGGCAAGCGUUAUCCGGAUUUACUGGGUGUAAGGGGAGCGUAGACGGCAGCACAAGUCUGGAGUGAAAUGCCGGGGCUUAACCCCGGAACUGCUUUGGAAACUGUGCAGCUAGAGUGCAGGAGAGGUAAGUGGAAUUCCUAGUGUAGCGGUGAAAUGCGUAGAUAUUAGGAGGAACACCAGUGGCGAAGGCGGCUUACUGGACUGUAACUGACGUUGAGGCUCGAAAGCGUGGGGAGCAAACAGGAUUAGAUACCCCAGUAGUC
RNAcentral lists this ribosomal RNA (440 nucleotides) under uncultured bacterium. Its description in RNAcentral is "partial 16S ribosomal RNA". It matches the Rfam family "Bacterial small subunit ribosomal RNA", at positions 338 to 795 of the family's 1533-position model. The record is from RNAcentral.